This 169-nucleotide ribosomal RNA is filed under the name Adesmia villosa. RNAcentral's name for it is "5.8S ribosomal RNA". It matches the Rfam family "5.8S ribosomal RNA". From Rfam's summary of the family: 5.8S ribosomal RNA (5.8S rRNA) is a component of the large subunit of the eukaryotic ribosome. It is transcribed by RNA polymerase I as part of the 45S precursor that also contains 18S and 28S rRNA. The record is from RNAcentral. Lineage: Eukaryota; Viridiplantae; Streptophyta; Magnoliopsida; Fabales; Fabaceae.
GUCUAAAAUGACUCUCGGCAACGGAUAUCUCGGCUCUUGCAUCGAUGAAGAACGUAGCGAAAUGCAAUACUUGGUGUGAAUUGCAGAAUCCCGUGAACCAUCGAGUCUUUGAACGCAAGUUGCGCCCGAAGCCAUUAGGCCAAGGGCACGCCUGCCUGGGUGUCACUAA